This 459-nucleotide ribosomal RNA is filed under the name uncultured bacterium. Its description in RNAcentral is "partial 16S ribosomal RNA". It matches the Rfam family "Bacterial small subunit ribosomal RNA", at positions 338 to 795 of the family's 1533-position model. The record is from RNAcentral.
CCUACGGGAUGCAGCAGUGAGGAAUAUUGGUCAAUGGACGAGAGUCUGAAGCAGCCAAGUAGCGUGAAGGAUGACUGCCCUAUGGGUUGUAAACUUCUUUUGUCAAGGGACAAAAACAGGCUCGAGAGCCUGACCGAGGGUACUUAAAGAAAAAGCGUCGGCGAACUCCGUGCCAGCAGCCGCGGUAAUACGGGGGAUGCGGGCGUUAUCAGGAUUAAUGGGGUUAAAAGGGUGCGUAGGCGGACGGUUAAGUCAGCGGGAAAAGCCCGGGGUCCAACCCCGGCGAGCAGUUGAAACUGGCUGUCUUGAGAUGUCGAGAGGUAUGCGGAAUGCGCAGUGUAGCGGUGAAAUGCUUAGAUAUUGCGCAGAACUCCGAUUGCGAAGGCAGUUCACUGGACUGCAACUGACACUGAGGCUCGAAAGUGUGGGUAUCAAACAGGAUUAGAUACCCGGGUAGUC